RNAcentral lists this ribosomal RNA (49 nucleotides) under Convolvulus holosericeus. RNAcentral describes it as "partial 5.8S ribosomal RNA". The record is from RNAcentral. Lineage: Eukaryota; Viridiplantae; Streptophyta; Magnoliopsida; Solanales; Convolvulaceae.
GCGAAAUGCGAUACUUGGUGUGAAUUGCAGAAUCCCGUGAACCAUCGAG